UACAGAGGGUGCAAACGUUGCUCGGAAUUACUGGGCGUAAAGCGCGUGUAGGCUGAUCAGCAAGUCAGAUGUGAAAUCCCUGGGCUCAACCCAGGAACUGCAUUUGAAACUGCUGGUCUUGAGUGUCGGAGAGGAUAGCGGAAUUCCAAGUGUAAAGGUGAAAUUUUUAAAUAUUUGGAGGAACAUCUGUGGCGAAGGCGGCUAUCUGGACGAUUACUGACGCUGAGACGCGAAAGUGUGGGGAGCAAACAGG
RNAcentral lists this ribosomal RNA (253 nucleotides) under uncultured bacterium. RNAcentral describes it as "partial 16S ribosomal RNA". It matches the Rfam family "Bacterial small subunit ribosomal RNA", at positions 524 to 776 of the family's 1533-position model. The record is from RNAcentral.